This is a ribosomal RNA of Erinaceus europaeus (western European hedgehog), 123 nucleotides long. Lineage: Eukaryota; Metazoa; Chordata; Mammalia; Eulipotyphla; Erinaceidae. The record is from Ensembl.
GUCUAUGGCCAUACCACCCUGAACACGCCCGAUCUCGGAAGCUAAGCAGAGUCGGGCUUGGUUAGUACUUGGAUGGGAGAAAUACAGUAAAUUUUAAGGGGAAAACUUUAAAAGGUUUAGUAU